This 148-nucleotide ribosomal RNA is filed under the name Acronicta rumicis. Its description in RNAcentral is "partial large subunit ribosomal RNA". Lineage: Eukaryota; Metazoa; Arthropoda; Insecta; Lepidoptera; Noctuidae. The record is from RNAcentral.
UUUUAUAAUUAAAAUUAUUAAGAUUAUUUUUAAGUUUAAUGAUUAAAAUUAUUUUAAUUAUUUUGUUGGGGUGACAAAAAAAUAUAAAAAACUUUUUUUACAUAUAAAACAUAUAUAAGUGAUUAAGUGAUCCAAUAAUAUUGAUUAU